CCCUGGGAUACCUCAGCUUGGUAGAGCAUGAGACUCUUAAUCUCAGGGCUGUGGGUUCGAGUCUCACAUUGGGCA
This 75-nucleotide transfer RNA is filed under the name Podarcis lilfordi (Lilford's wall lizard). Its description in RNAcentral is "tRNA.Lys". The stretch from base 15 to 67 matches the Rfam family "tRNA", at positions 9 to 63 of the family's 71-position model. Rfam says of the family: Transfer RNA (tRNA) molecules are approximately 80 nucleotides in length. Their secondary structure includes four short double-helical elements and three loops (D, anti-codon, and T loops). Further hydrogen bonds mediate the characteristic L-shaped molecular structure. tRNAs have two regions of fundamental functional importance: the anti-codon, which is responsible for specific mRNA codon recognition, and the 3' end, to which the tRNAs corresponding amino acid is attached (by aminoacyl-tRNA synthetases). tRNAs cope with the degeneracy of the genetic code in two manners: having more than one tRNA (with a specific anti-codon) for a particular amino acid; and 'wobble' base-pairing, i.e. permitting non-standard base-pairing at the 3rd anti-codon position. Lineage: Eukaryota; Metazoa; Chordata; Lepidosauria; Squamata; Lacertidae. The record is from RNAcentral.